RNAcentral lists this unclassified non-coding RNA (379 nucleotides) under Commiphora simplicifolia. Its description in RNAcentral is "partial external transcribed spacer". Lineage: Eukaryota; Viridiplantae; Streptophyta; Magnoliopsida; Sapindales; Burseraceae. The record is from RNAcentral.
GUCAUCGUCCGCAUGGGCCCCUAAGGGGAUUUGACAUGGGCGUGACCAUCAUUCGUAUUGAUGCAUGGCUCGAGUAGACAGAGGCUGAGAAAGCCUCAACCCACGUGUCACAUUCUAUAUCUGAGUGCAAGGGCAAAAAGCCUCGUGGGCCUGUGUAGCGUACACAAGGAGGCAUGACGUCCUCGAACAUGAGGCAUGCCUGGUGUCUACCCUACCCGCCUCGAGGGCAUGGGGCAGAGAGGGACAACGAGACCAUUGAAUUUCAUUUUUUUGGUAAAGCAACACAGGACAGUUAACGCACUCACAGGGCAAUAACAGCACCCAGGGAAACAUUGAAGUGGAUGGGGCACCGAUGGUUCAUUGCGUAAGCAAGGAGCCU